UCGAGCGAACAGACGAGGAGCUUGCUCCUCUGACGUUAGCGGCGGACGGGUGAGUAACACGUGGAUAACCUACCUAUAAGACUGGGAUAACUUCGGGAAACCGGAGCUAAUACCGGAUAAUAUAUUGAACCGCAUGGUUCAAUAGUGAAAGACGGUUUUGCUGUCACUUAUAGAUGGAUCCGCGCCGCAUUAGCUAGUUGGUAAGGUAACGGCUUACCAAGGCAACGAUGCGUAGCCGACCUGAGAGGGUGAUCGGCCACACUGGAACUGAGACACGGUCCAGACUCCUACGGGAGGCAGCAGUAGGGAAUCUUCCGCAAUGGGCGAAAGCCUGACGGAGCAACGCCGCGUGAGUGAUGAAGGUCUUCGGAUCGUAAAACUCUGUUAUUAGGGAAGAACAAAUGUGUAAGUAACUAUGCACGUCUUGACGGUACCUAAUCAGAAAGCCACGGCUAACUACGUGCCAGCAGCCGCGGUAAUACGUAGGUGGCAAGCGUUAUCCGGAAUUAUUGGGCGUAAAGCGCGCGUAGGCGGUUUUUUAAGUCUGAUGUGAAAGCCCACGGCUCAACCGUGGAGGGUCAUUGGAAACUGGAAAACUUGAGUGCAGAAGAGGAAAGUGGAAUUCCAUGUGUAGCGGUGAAAUGCGCAGAGAUAUGGAGGAACACCAGUGGCGAAGGCGACUUUCUGGUCUGUAACUGACGCUGAUGUGCGAAAGCGUGGGGAUCAAACAGGAUUAGAUACCCUGGUAGUCCACGCCGUAAACGAUGAGUGCUAAGUGUUAGGGGGUUUCCGCCCCUUAGUGCUGCAGCUAACGCAUUAAGCACUCCGCCUGGGGAGUACGACCGCAAGGUUGAAACUCAAAGGAAUUGACGGGGACCCGCACAAGCGGUGGAGCAUGUGGUUUAAUUCGAAGCAACGCGAAGAAUCCUUACCAAAUCUUGACAUCCUCUGACCCCUCUAGAGAUAGAGUUUUCCCCUUUCGGGGGACAGAGUGACAGUGGUGCAUGCCUGUCGUCAGCUCGUGUCGUGAGAUGUGGGUAGUCCCGCAUGAGC
This 1053-nucleotide ribosomal RNA is filed under the name Staphylococcus sp. RNAcentral's name for it is "bacterial SSU rRNA". It matches the Rfam family "Bacterial small subunit ribosomal RNA", at positions 62 to 1097 of the family's 1533-position model. Lineage: Bacteria; Bacillati; Bacillota; Bacilli; Caryophanales; Staphylococcaceae. The record is from RNAcentral.